Mauremys reevesii (Reeves's turtle) is the source of this 1814-nucleotide long non-coding RNA. RefSeq lists it as uncharacterized. The record is from RefSeq and is a predicted model, not a curated record. The transcript has 2 exons. NCBI's taxonomy places the organism in Eukaryota, Metazoa, Chordata, Testudines, Geoemydidae.
UUGGUUCCAGGCCAAGUGGGAUAUUUACCCCAGGCCAGGCCACUUUACUCUGACUGACAAGCCUGGGCCUGGAGGGACUAAGGGGAGUGGCUUCCCCUUUGAAAGGGGGGAUAAAGGGGCACUGCCAGCUUGAGCUAGAGAACAGGGGGGGCCCUAGAACCAGCCCAGAGAGACUCCCUCGCAGGGACCUGGUCCCCCUCCUCUCAGUGCCCAGCAGCAGCGUGUCUGGGGGCCCUGGCUGAAGCCUGAGCUGGGGGAGUUAAUUGGUGCCAUGUUGUAGGAUUGGUUACAGCAGAAGGUCUUGGCUACUGUUCUUUUACUCACUGUGCCCACACCUAAUGGAGGCACCGCCCUGCUUGAGGGGGAACCCGCUGCAGCUGGGGCAGCACAUGCCUGAUCCUCCACCUUCCCUGCAGCUACUCACAGGCAGGUCAAUGAGCUGAAAAUGUGACCAACUUUCCUUCCCACACUGGGCCAGUGUUUCGAUCCCUUCUCCUGGGCCAGGGAAGGGCCCAGCUGGCACCAGGAGCUUACAGAUGGGCCCAGAAAAGAGGCCGGCAGGGGAAUCCACCCCCAACAUAGCAGACUCCCACUCAGAUGGCCCUCCCUUGGCCAGGCAGCAACCCCCAGCAGCGGAGGAGAAAUAGUCACCCUCAUGGAUGAAGCCCUGGCAGAUCCACCUCGCUCCAGUACUGAAAGAAUUCAACCUGCAUUGAGCCAUACGCCAAAUAUCCCAUGCCACACAGAGCCACUGAAGUCACCACUCGGAUACAAGCAGCUACAACCAGCCAAAGUGUAAGCACAUCAAGACACAUGGAGAGCAGGAUCCCAGCCGUGUUACUACAGGCCCUGUCAUUUGUCCUCUAAAAUAUGAACACCGGCAAAAAUGACCCCUGCUAAAUUCCUCUGGUUCCUGAAAGGGGAAGAUCAGCAAAAGGCCAGCAUUAAAACACAGAGCAAAGCGUUUGUCCUACAAACCUGGGCUUAACCCUGCGAGACAUUUUAAGAUACAGCUGUCCUGCGGCUUUUUACUUUAAGUCCCUUCUCUAGUUCUUUUUUUUUUUUUAAUGAAAGGAGAGUUGCGGCUGUAAACUGAGGCUGUAAUGUAUUAUUAUGAAUGACGUGUGAUUAAUAAAGGGGGUAGUUUUGCUUGAUGGGAAUUUUAUAUCCUGUUAAACAGAAGGUGUCGAAAUGCCCCCUUUAAACGAAGGUUUGGCUGGGAGAAUGUCAAGCUAAAACUUUUAAUCUUUAGCCAGAUUUUGAGUCUGUAAACAUGGCUCUGUAUUCGAGACCUUGGUGGAUUACUCAGUGCAAGUCUCUGAAGGGAUGGUAGAGAAAUCACUCCGCCUGUAUGUGUCCUAGCUUCACUUGACUAUGGGGCUGGCCUUGUGCAGUAUGUCUUGCUCCUUCCCCAGAGGUGGCUGCACUUGGUGGGGCUGGUGGACAGUCAGGAUGUAUGAGAAUGAAAGAUGCUAUGGGAGGGUCAAAGGCCAUUAGGGAUGGACAAGUAGGGAGUACUGCUCUUUGCAAAUGUCCCUGCCUUGAUGCCCACCCCCAGCUCCCUGCUCUGAUGCCCUCACUGCUCCCAACCCUGUGUUCACCUGUAGGUAAGUACAUUUGUACUUAAAUACAUACUUAAGCAUUUAAAGUACUCCACAUGCUUGUACUUAAGUACUUGACAUAUUCUGUACUUAGUGCUUGUAUUUCAAUACAUUCGAAAAGUACUUGAAGGAUAAUUUUCUUUUAUCUGUGAGUACCUUUUCAGAAUAGUUUUUUGAAACAAUCACCUGCCUCUCCCCUAUCCCAUACUCUGU